Molecule: long non-coding RNA, 2284 nt
Filed under: Anas platyrhynchos platyrhynchos (common mallard)
Lineage: Eukaryota; Metazoa; Chordata; Aves; Anseriformes; Anatidae
Description: lncRNA (ENSAPLG00000018266.1)
Source: RNAcentral
AAUGAAUCGGAUGCUCCUAAAAUGAGCAUGGUAGUGCCAAGUAUUAAAAGAAGAGUUUAAAAGAGGGAGGAAUUUUACAAAAACGAUAAAUGGGGACUUCUGCCUCCUUCACCUUAGCCAGCUAUGGUGGAGUCACAAAGCCAGGAAUGGAGAAGGAAGCAUGGGAGCAGAGAAAUGUGACACAAAGCAGUGUGGUGAAAGGGCAAGUCAGGAGAAGCACUUUGGUCUGAACAGGCAUCCUUCCUUUUCCAGCCCCAGGGGUGCCCUGAGCAUUGGUGCCCUGAGCAUUGCUAUGCUCCCUUGGGCACUGCACCAAUGGGACCUCGGAUCUGGCCCUCACUCUCAGUGUCAUUUCAUCUCCUCUGUGAGCUGCUUGGGCAGGCUUUUCAAGACUCUGACUUCGUUGCUGAAGUUGGAGGUUUUCCCUAAAAGAAGGGAAGUCAUGAUACAUUGUUCAUCAUCGAGUAAAUCAAGCACCUGAGAUGUCACAUAGGUGACACGAUGCCUACACUACACAACAGUACUCUUCCCUGCCCUCCAUCCCCCAGCAAAAGGGCUACCUAUAGAAGCUGCAUGGUACUGACCUGGUCGUUAUCGGGUAUAACCAUACACACAUAAGUGCAAUGGGGACAACAAAGGCAAUAAGGGCAAAAAACAGAUUGAAGCGAUGGCCUGGAAAUUUGCUUACAGAAAGAAAAGGCACAGAGCUCUCUUGUAGGUUGUAUUCUGGGGAAAAUCCAUGCUUUGGCCAGGAAAGUCCAAGCCUAGAUGUCCACUUACAGGCAGUGUAGGGGGGUGGGGUUUAAAUAACUCUGUAAGUAUUGCACUAGGGAAAAAGAUUUGAGCAUGUGGUUAGUGGGUCUGGUGUGCAUUUUUAAUCCGUUUUCCUAAAAAGGGGGAAGAUACCUCUGGUGCUGUCCAGCUGAAGAUCAGCCGCACCUGGCAUCUUCAUGGCCACAAGUGUGGAAGCCUGGAUGUGGGACUGUGGGGGCAGCAGAACGCAAAGGGGGCUGAGGGCUCUGCUGUGGUGCUGUCUCAUCGGGCAUCUCACUUGUGCUUUGCAGGAGCAAUGCAGGGAAGGGCUGAAGAUGCUGAGAGAUGAUACGAGUGUGCGUUAUGGUCCUGAAAUGCUGUUUGGGUGCAUGAAACAGGGAGAAAUACCUGAAGGGAGUAUCCAGCUGCACGUUCUUUUCCCUUCUUUUUCCAGCUUUCAGCUGAACUGCAAAGCCAAGGGGGUCUGCUAAGAGCCUGGGCCCGUCCAUUUGUCUCUCCCCCUACUUCUCUGUCCCUAACCCCCCUCUCUCUCCCCUCCCGCAGCUCGGGAGGGUGGAGGUGCGAUUCGCUAUGCCAGUUUUUUAUUUCCAGCAUGCUUGACAGGCUGGGCGAGGAAGGCGUUAAUGUUUUCUGACAGGCCCCCUCUAAUUGUUGGAGCUUUUCUUCUCUGCCUUUUCUGUGAAAUUCUGACUUAGGCGAGCAGCAUAACAAAAUGCUCUGGCAUUGAAAUGUGCGCUUGCACUACACUGGGCUCGGGGAAACAGCAUUAUUCAUGAAGAUUUUCAGCUGUUUUUGUCUUUUAACUAACCUUUGAGUUUGAUCAGAGGCUAGCCGGGCUCCCUUUCUCAAAAGGCGGUCUUGGCAACCCGACAAUGGAGCCAAACUGUUUUCCCUGUUAAAGAGAUAACUAUGCCGUUGAGUUGGUACAUGGGGGAAAUUAAUCUUCAGGCGCAUACAAAUGAUAGGUUUACCUCGGUCUGCAAUCGCCUGCAUGGGAUUAUUAAUAGGACGCGGGUAAGGAGCAGGAAAAAUUCAGUCUGGGGCAGGGAACUUGGGGGAAGAAGAAGAAGAAAAAAAAAAUCCCAAACCCAAACCCAUCAUCCCUUUUGAUUGCAUAAAGCCUGCGAUUGAUUCCUCACCACUUGCCUUUUGCAGCAGGAAUUAGCUGUGCAUUGUGCGGGCUGACACGCUAAAAGCGAGCCCGCUUGGGAGCAAGAAGUUGCUGCGCGCUGGGACGGAGCGGGGUGGCGGCCGGGGGCGGGGGGCUCUCCCCGCUCCCCUUUGCAAAGGGCGGAGGUGUUGGGGGGGGUGGAGGGGUGGAGGAGGCAGAGAAUGCCCCCUGCCCUUCAAGGCGAGCUAAUCCCUGAAUGCACUGAGUAACAGGCGCUGCAUUAUGGAGCCCCCCAGUCCCCUCGGCGCUGCAGCGCCCGCCUGCCCUUGGGCAGGUGCCCGCUUACCGGGGGGAAAAACAACAAAAAAGGGAAAAUAAAGUUUUAUAAAAGGCUCCCCA